CUACGGGAGGCAGCAGUGGGGAAUCUUGCACAAUGGGCGAAAGCCUGAUGCAGCAACGCCGCGUGCGGGAAGAAGGCCCUAGGGUUGUAAACCGCUUUCAGUAGGGAAGAAAAUGACGGUACCUACAGAAGAAGGUGCGGCCAACUACGUGCCAGCAGCCGCGGUGACACGUAGGCACCAAGCGUUAUCCGGAUUUAUUGGGCGUAAAGAGCUCGUAGGCGGUUCGGUAAGUCGGGUGUGAAAACUCUGGGCUCAACCCAGAGAGGCCACCCGAUACUGCUGUGACUAGAGUGCGGUAGGGGAGCGGGGAAUUCCUGGUGUAGCGGUGAAAUGGCGCAGAUAUCAGGAGGAACACCAGCGGCGAAGGCGCCGCUCUGGGCCGUAACUGACGCUGAGGAGCGAAAGCAUGGGUAGCAAACAGGAUUAGAUACCCUGGUAGUCCAUGCCGUAAACGUUGGGCACUAGGUGUGGGUCUCAACCAACGAGAUCCGCGCCGUCGCUAACGCAUUUAAGNCCCCGGCCUGGGAGGUACGGUCGCAGACUAAACUACAAGAUAGAGCGNGAGAGNGCGACGACGACGACGAGGAGGAG
This 591-nucleotide ribosomal RNA is filed under the name uncultured bacterium. Its description in RNAcentral is "bacterial SSU rRNA". It matches the Rfam family "Bacterial small subunit ribosomal RNA", at positions 339 to 943 of the family's 1533-position model. The record is from RNAcentral.